GGGGGUGACAUGGCUUCGACGUGGGUCGCGAAACUCCGGGUGCAUGCCGAGGAACAGAUAACCUCGUAAAUCCAGCUGUAAAACUUAUAGUUGCCAACGACGACAACUACGCACUAGCUGCUUAAAAACCAGUAAAUGCCUUCUGCCCGGAUCGUGCCUGUGC
Molecule: transfer-messenger RNA, 163 nt
Filed under: Gammaproteobacteria bacterium
Lineage: Bacteria; Pseudomonadati; Pseudomonadota; Gammaproteobacteria
Description: partial transfer-messenger RNA
Rfam family: transfer-messenger RNA
About the family: Bacterial tmRNA, also known as 10Sa RNA or SsrA, is named for its dual tRNA and mRNA-like properties. Its role is to liberate the mRNA from a stalled ribosome. To accomplish this part of the tmRNA is used as a reading frame that ends in a translation stop signal.
Source: RNAcentral